Ipomoea nil (Japanese morning glory) is the source of this 864-nucleotide long non-coding RNA. RefSeq lists it as uncharacterized. Lineage: Eukaryota; Viridiplantae; Streptophyta; Magnoliopsida; Solanales; Convolvulaceae. The record is from RefSeq and is a predicted model, not a curated record. The transcript has 3 exons.
UCGUACUUUGGGCCAUCCUCAACCAAACGGGCCCCGUGAGUAUAGUUCAGCCACCGUCCCAACAGCUGUCUCAGGCGAGAACGCAACAUUCCCGGCCAUCUCUAAGGGGCAGAUCCAGAAAAAUAGCUGAGUGGGGGUGAAGUUCAAAUGAUUCAAAAAUGUCCAUAAGAAAGGCCUGCAGGGAGCUUUGAUCAUUGGAUCCGAUUCACAUAAUACAUGUAUUUUAUGUCAAGGUGAAUAGGUGAUUUCAUAGGUUAACACAAUAUUCAAUCAACUUGAAAAAAGACAUUCUAUAUUAUCAUGAAGCAGGUCAGCUUGUGCAAAACCAAAAAAAGGUUCCAUGAACCUCGAGCAAUUUUUGUUUUUUUCCUCCUUAAAUGUUUUCACUUUUAUGAUUUCUAUCUUAUAUAUGCUUGUGGUAUGCCUUUGAUCCAAGUGUGUGUUUCCCAAAACUUGGAUUCAAAAGCAUCAAACUCUAUUCUUAUGCUGUAGUUGUCAACACUUGAACACCCGUAGUUAUUAAAAUACAAAAAAUGCUUUAAGUUGGUCCUUAUUCCUUGCAGUAAUCUCUAGGAUUAUUGUUCAUCAUAAUUAGGCCAAGAAAAAAAACCUAGUAAAUUUCUUUUGUUCCUUACUUUGUGAAGGUAUUUGUUUUUCCUCCAUCAUUUCCCCGCGUCAGGAUAUUUUAUAUCAUGCUAAAAAUAGAAAUUACAGGAAAGAUUCAAGUGGAUAUAUUUCCUGUAUCUUUGCUCUGAAUCUAUCCAUUAAUAUCCUUCCUAAAGCCGGGAGUGACUAUGAUCAUGGGAUUCAUGGCAGUGAAGGAGAUAGUAUUUGCAUCAUGGAGUGGCCCAAGACCAUCAAAAA